Molecule: ribosomal RNA, 800 nt
Filed under: uncultured bacterium
Lineage: Bacteria
Description: bacterial SSU rRNA
Rfam family: Bacterial small subunit ribosomal RNA
Source: RNAcentral
AGAGUUUGAUCAUGGCUCAGGAUGAACGCUGGCGGCGCACAUAAGACAUGCAAGUCGAACGGACUAAAUUCAUUCUUUAAGAUUGGGAGAGGUUAGUGGCGGACUGGUGAGUAAAACGUAAGCAACCUGGCUAUUAGAGGGGGACAACAGUUAGAAAUGACUGCUAAUACCGCAUAUGCCAUAAGUAUCGCAUGAUAGAAGUGGGAAAGGAGAAAUCCGCUAAUAGAUGGGCUUACGGCUGAUUAGCUAGUUGGUGGGGUAAAGGCCUACCAAGGCGACGAUCAGUAGCCGGACUGAGAGGUUGAACGGCCACAUUGGGACUGAGAUACGGCCCAGACUCCUACGGGAGGCAGCAGUCGGGAAUUUUGCGCAAUGGAGGAAACUCUGACGCAGUGACGUCGCGUGCAGGAAGAAGGUUUUCGGAUUGUAAACUGCUUUAGACAGGGAAGAAAAAAGACAGUACCUGUAGAAUAAGCUCCGGCUAACUACGUGCCAGCAGCCGCGGUAAUACGUAGGGAGCAAGCGUUAUCCGGAUUUAUUGGGUGUAAAGGGUGCGUAGACGGGAUAAUAAGUUAGCUGUGAAAGGCCUCUGCUCAACAGAGGAACUGCAACUAAAACUGUUAUUCUUGAGUACUGGAGAGGAAAGUGGAAUUCCUAGUGUAGCGGUGAAAUGCGUAGAUAUUAGGAGGAACACCGGUGGCGAAGGCGACUUUCUGGACAGAAACUGACGUUGAGGCACGAAAGUGUGGGGAGCAAACAGGAUUAGAUACCCUGGUAGUCCACACUGUAAACGAUGGAUA